GAAAACCCGCAAGGGAGGCUUAGGAAAAAAUGGGUAUCCCGGUGGAUUGAAAACCCGAAAGGGCGAUCCAGGCAAAAAAGGGAUUAAGGCGAAGACUACAGUCUGAGUUAUUUGUACUUCAUCACGCUUUGUUGUCUACCAUCUCGAAGGAUAUGAUCAGUCCAGUCAUUCUGCUCAGAAAGCAAGGAAGGGGGAGAAAUUGAUGAUCUGUGAGUCAUAACAGAAUUGGGAAAUAGUGGAUGCCGU
Molecule: long non-coding RNA, 246 nt
Filed under: Lathyrus oleraceus (garden pea)
Lineage: Eukaryota; Viridiplantae; Streptophyta; Magnoliopsida; Fabales; Fabaceae
Description: Pisum sativum (pea) long non-coding RNA (PSAT_LNC030014)
Source: RNAcentral